AUGGUGAGGUGGCGUCAGCCCGCCCUGCCUGGGGACGCGGAGCGUGUUUGUGUUUGUGUUCGUGUCGGACACCACGCCCCUCCCACGUCCGUCCGCCUGGAACGGCCCCCACACCCACCCCACCCCCGACUCCCACCACCUGAAGCAAAACUGAUCGUUGUUUUGUUUUCCUCCCUCAGCCCCCGCAAACUGCGGUGUUCGUGCACGCACUUCCAGGGACCAGCAGCACGUCACCAUCACCUCCUGAGAACUAGGAAGAAGAAAAGAGGGGAGUUUGGUAAUGGCUGCCGAGAGAGUACACACAGGCAGAAUGACUCCACAUCAUACACCCAAGACCCAGAAGAGCAUUUAUUCAGAGAAACUUACAGAAGCAGGAAGAGGAGGAGGUAUGAGGUCCCUUCUUGGCCAACUGCUGUCUGAGACAGUGCACAGUGAUCUGGCGAGACCGCCAUCUAAACUCUGGGCGAAUAAACUGCACGCAGGAAGGUAGGCAUCAGCUCUGGUAUGACGAGGGCCUGCGGUCCAAGCCUUGGACUUCCGCCGUCAGGCCUUCUCAGCAUUCCUGUUUGCAGCGUGACCAGACCCUCCCUGGUGUGAACAGGAGCUCAGGUGCAAAUCUUGCAGUUCCAGGUGUCUGAUGCAUGGAGCCUUGGCCUCCCAUCAUGCCCCUCCACCUCAGUACUUUCUCAGGAUGCUUGCCAAGCAGCCCCACCCUGCAGGAAGCCAGCCUCACCCUGGGAGGCCUUCCAGGGGGAAGCGCCAGAUAAAUUAACCUUUACUCCUCAGUGCAGCAUAAACCUGAAGCCCUCUGAGGACCAGCUGGAAUGGAGAACAUCUCGUCAGAAUGUGUUUGUCUGGGCCUUCGUCCAACACAUCAAGUAUCUUGGCCGAUACUUACACUGUCAUCCUAUCAAUCAAAAGAAAUCGAUCAAAUAAAAAGCCUUUAUUUCGCAGCUCAGAGUCGUUCUCUCCCACACUUCUCCUGUGUAAAUUCUUGGUAGUUUGAUAAUAAGCAGAUAUGUUUCUUCUAGUAGCCUGAUUGCUCAAUCCCUCUGAGGUUUUUUCCUCCAUUGAUUUUGUCCUUUACCCUACCUCAGCCAGCCAUUCCCACAAUCACAUCGUAAAUCUUAUCAUUACCAAUAAUUGCCACUUAGUUAUUAUCUGAAUUUAACAUCCCCACUUCCUGUCAUUCCAGUUCACUCCCUUUAAAGUUCAACUUUAACAAUUCUCUCACCUCAUCAGGAUUUCUUUUUUCUUUUCUUUUCUUUUCUUUUUUUCUUUCUUUCUUUCUUUUUUUUUUUUUUUUUUAGAUAGAAGGCACAGGUGAGCAAGGGUAGAGUGAGACACAGGGAGAGAGAGAGAGAAGCAGGACUCAUCUGAAGCAGGACUCAAACCCACGAACCGUGAGAUCAUGAUCUGAGUCAAAGUCAAAAGCUUAACUGACUGAGCCACCCAGGCGCCACCCGCCCCCCUUAGGAUGUCUAGCCCAUUGAUCCGGCACAUCUUCCCUGUCCUUCACAUCCAUCCCUUCCUGUCUUCAAGUCUGUAACAACCACUAUCCUCAUUUCUGUGCACGUACCCUCAAUUCCUUUGCCUCUCUCUCACAUUAACUUGGAAAAACACAACUCUGAUGAAACCUAACUCCCUACCUACUUACUCUUCAUAGUUUGUGGUUGAAAGAAAGCACUCUGCCCUGCUAUUAGCUCCAUUUUAAAUUCGUAAUUACACACAUCAAAUGGCCUAAUGCUGCCUGGCAGUCUCACUGUAUUUCUCUGCUCCAUCCACCAUCCAGCUUUCCUACACCACUCUUUUCCACUUUCUCCUCUCUCUUCAAAUCCCUAACAAACCUCCUUCUCCAUCCCCGCCCUCUGAUGAUCCCCUUCCUUCUUACUUCCUUAAGAACAUUGAAGUACUCACGCGCGAAUUUCUUCCAACCCCUGCUACACAUUUACCCUGUGGCAGGAUCUGUACACAUAUAUGUUGCCUUUGUGCCUCUUCCUCGGAUGCGCUAUCCACGCAUCUAUCUAAGGCCAGUGCCUCCAGUCCCUUUCACGCAUAGGCAAAGGCAUCACUCUGGGAAAUUUCUUUUCCUCCUCUGAAAUUCAAAUUUCAC
Panthera leo (lion) is the source of this 2113-nucleotide long non-coding RNA. Lineage: Eukaryota; Metazoa; Chordata; Mammalia; Carnivora; Felidae. The record is from Ensembl.